AAGCCCCAGUAAACGGCGGCCGUAACUAUAACGGUCCUAAGGUAGCGAAAUUCCUUGUCGGGCAAGUUCCGACCUGCACGAAUGGCAUAACGAUGGCCACACUGUCUCCUCCUGAGACUCAGUGAAGUUGAAGUGUUUGUGAUGAUGCAAUCUCCCCGCGGCUAGACGGAAAGACCCCAUGAACCUUUACUGUAGCUUUGCAUUGGACUUUGAACCGAUCUGUGUAGGAUAGGCGGGAGCCUGUGAAACCACAACGCCAGUUGUGGCGGAGGCGUCCUUGAAAUACCGCCCUGAUUUGUUUGAGGUUCUAACCUGGGACAGUCAUCCUGUCCGGGGACCGUGCAUGGUAGGCAGUUUGACUGGGGCGGUCUCCUCCUAAAGGGUAACGGAGGAGUGCGAAGGUACGCUAGGUACGGUCGGAAAUCGUGCUGAUAGUGCAAUGGCAAAAGCGUGCUUGACUGCGAGACCCACAAGUCGAGCAGAUACGAAAGUAGGUCAUAGUGAUCCGGUGGCUCUGUAUGGAAGGGCCAUCGCUCAACGGAUAAAAGGUACUCUGGGGAUAACAGGCUGAUACCGCCCAAGAGUUCAUAUCGACGGCGGUGUUUGGCACCUCGAUGUCGGCUCAUCUCAUCCUGGGGCUGUAGCCGGUCCCAAGGGUAUGGCUGUUCGCCAUUUAAAGAGGUACGUGAGCUGGGUUUAAAACGUCGUGAGACAGUUUUGUCCCUAUCUGCCGUGGGCGCUGGAAGAUUGACGGGGGCUGCUCCUAGUACGAGAGGACCGGAGUGGACUCACCUCUGGUGUACCGGUUGUCACGCCAGUGGCAUCGCCGGGUAGCUAUGUGGGGAAGAGAUAACCGCUGAAAGCAUCUAAGCGGGAAACUUGCCUGAAGAUAAGUCUUCCUGGAGGCUAGACCUCCCUAAAGAGUCGUUCGAGACCAGGACGUUGAUAGGAUGGGUGUGUAAGUGCUGUGAGGCACUCAGCUAACCAUUACUAAUUGCUCGUGAAGCUUGAUCCU
Molecule: ribosomal RNA, 1015 nt
Filed under: human gut metagenome
Description: bacterial LSU rRNA
Rfam family: Bacterial large subunit ribosomal RNA
Source: RNAcentral